Long non-coding RNA from Capsicum annuum, 1425 nucleotides. RefSeq lists it as uncharacterized. The transcript is spliced from 4 exons. The record is from RefSeq and is a predicted model, not a curated record. NCBI's taxonomy places the organism in Eukaryota, Viridiplantae, Streptophyta, Magnoliopsida, Solanales, Solanaceae.
UCAGAUCUCUAGUUCUACUAGUGUGUUUUGAGCCCGUUAAAUGUUGAGUACUCACGGAUCAAAUGCACAUGCCUAAGAUGAGGAACUUCAAAAUCCCACUCAGCUCAUUUGUUUUUUUUUCUUAAAAUACUACAGUAUUUCUUUCCUUGCUUCUGCAGCAAAUUUCUAUACUCUGAUCGUUGAAGUUUUCUUCCAGAAUCUCUGGACUACAUAAACCAAGUAUAUCUGUCCUACUUAAAAGUUAAGACUGUUGAGAAGUUGUGGUUAGUACUUGUCUUUUGCAUUAGUGGCUGUUCAAGUAUGUUCAAGCAGAAACACAUACAAGCUACAGACUGAUAUGCUGUGUCUUCUUUACUAGAACUCAGCAUUGAUUAUACUAAACUUUUCAAUCAUGAACCAAUGGCCAAGUAUAAAAGCUUGCUGCCUGCUAGAAGUCCAAGGAACCCCAAAAUAUUUUUCCACAGCCUGCCUAGUAGAUAUUCUGACUUGAUUUACCAGGCAAAGCAGUCUCUUCUUUACCUGAGUCGAUCAUGUCAAGAAAAGGGGCUCUCUUUCACAAGACUGGAUGAAGUAUUAAAGGUAGUUCAGAGAAAAUUGAUCUAGGGUUAUUCGUCUGGCCUCGUCAUUAUUGAGCUCCUACCUGAUUAAAAGAACAUCUGCAAACCUAAUGUUAGUGAUAUUCAAGGUUUGGGAUUUGGGACCUUAGAAGAAGAACCAUGAGAACUACUAUCUGAUUGUCUUCCAAUGAAAAAGAGUCUCCAUGAACAGAAAUACUAUUAAGCAGAGCAAAUCAAGAAAUUGUCACAUGAUACAUACACAAAAGGCCUAACUAUUUUACAGGUCUUGACGUACUUCUUGUUGAUUAUCUACUUUCGGCGUAUUCCUGUGGCUUCCAUAUCUAAGCAGCUCGUACAGCCUUUUGGCAAGAUGUUGUCCUGGCGAGCUGGAGGUCCUGCCAAUGAAAAUGUUAUAGUAAUGAUUAGUCUCAAUUGUUUCUCUAUUGUCAUUUAUUCUUUUAGAGGAAAUAGUGACUGAAAAUAGAGCAGUCAUAUGAGCGUAGUCUUGGGUUUGAAUCUCUGAAGGUAGAGCCAGUACGUGUGCAACAUAUCAUAUAAAAGCAGCUGCUGCUUAAGUUGCUCGUCUUUUGGUUGAAUGGCAUUUUAUUAGCUUGUUUAAUGAACUUACAGGUAGGAAUUAUUCCGUGGUUGAUACUGUCUACUCAAGUAGGAGGAGAAAGUAGAACUGACAUCAGGAUACACAGACCAAUUUUUUUUUUUUUUUUUUCCUUUUGAUAUCUAUUUUAUGUUGUAACUGAUUCAUUGGGAUUUGUAAAUUGAAUGUGCUUACACCUCUGUAAGGAGUACCCUUUUCUUUUUCCACAAGUAGGAACAAAUGUGAUGAGUUAGACGUCAGUUUUUAAAGUUC